Ctenopharyngodon idella (grass carp) is the source of this 4956-nucleotide long non-coding RNA. RefSeq lists it as uncharacterized. The transcript has 3 exons. The record is from RefSeq and is a predicted model, not a curated record. NCBI's taxonomy places the organism in Eukaryota, Metazoa, Chordata, Actinopteri, Cypriniformes, Xenocyprididae.
AAUACAUUACUCCAACUUUGGACCACAUUUGGCAAAAGUAUGGCACAGUCAGCACUGGCUAACCAGGGUGUGAGUCUAAACUGGCCCACAUAUAAUGCAGAAAAUGUGGCCCAGUUAUCUUAAAACAUAUCUGGGCCAGUUUUGGCAAAGUUGAGGGACAGUAACGACUGGCAUAUCUGAAUGUGGACCUAAAGUGGCCCACACACAGCAUAGCAAAUAUGGCCCGAAUAUAUAUUACUCCAACUUUGGACCACAUUUGGCAAAUGUCCGGCACAGUCAUCACUGGCUUACCAGGGUGUGAGCCUAAACUGGCCCACAUAUAAUGCAGCAAAUAUGGCCCAGUUAUCUUAAAACAUAUCUAUGCCAGUUUUGGCAAAGAUGAGAGACAGUAACGACUGGCAAAUCUGAAUGUGAACCUAAAGUGGCUCACACACAGAAUAGCAAAUAUGGCCCGAAUAUAUUACUCCAACUUUGGACCACAUUUGGCAAAUGUACAGCACAGUCAUCACUGGCUUACCAGGGUGUGAGCCUAAACUGGCCCACAUAUAAUGCAGCAAAUGUGGCCCAGUUAUCUUAAAACAUAUCUGGGCCAGUUUUGGCAAAGAUGACGGAGUGUAAUCACUGGCGAUUCUGAAUGUGAACCUAAAGUGGCCCAGACAUGGCAUAACAAAUAUGGCUUGAAUACAUUACUCCAACUUUGGACCACAUUUGGCAUAUGUAUGGCACAGUCAGCACUGGCCAACCAGGGUGUAAGCUCAAAAUGGAACAGUAAGCAAGUUAAUAGUUAAUAACAAUUAGGGCCACUUUUGGUAAAUAUACAGUACAGUUGACACAGAAAAUAUGCUCUAAAUAUCAUAAAAAAAACAAGGCCAAUUCUGGCUUUGGAAGGAGCACCUUUAAAAACUGGUUAAUUUAGAUGUAUAGCUAAAAAUGAAACUAAAAAUAUAGCAUUAAUAUUUUUCAGGAAAUUUGAUAUAGGAUGCAACACUGUUAAUUGUACAGGCUAAUCUGGAGAAGGCGGCUAUAUCGGGGGUGGUAUGUUAUUUAUCAACAUAAAUGAUGUUUUUGGAAAAUGUAAAUUGUAGAAAGUUUUCUGUGAUGGGUAGGUUUAAUGUAGAGGGAUAGAUUAUGCAGUUUGUACAGUAUAAAAAUCAUUAUGUCUAUGGAAAGUCCCCAUAAAACAUGAAAACACAAUGUGUGUGUGUGUGUGUGUGUGUGUGUGUGUGUGUGUGUGUGUGUGUGUGUGUGUGUGUGUGUGUGUGCUGUAGAGCAGAAACACAGACGUGCACUAUUACAGCUUUUACAGUCAGUUUUGCUGUACAUGUACUGUAAGUAGAGUGUCUGGUUGAGAAACGUGACAACUUAGUUAAAAUUAGUGAACUGUUUUUAUGGUCUUGGAACAUACAUUUUAAUGUUUGGUAGAGAGAUAUUUUGAGCAGCUGUAUGUUAAAAUCUUUGCCAUGGUUUCAAGCAGGACAUAUUCCUCUGUCCACAUGUUUUGUUGAUCUUGUAACAAGAUCCCAAGGGCAAGUUAGUCCUAACGCUACCCCUAAACCUAACCCAAUCCAUUAUCCUUAAAGCAGGAAAUGAUAACCAGCACAAAACCCUGGUUGAUGCAUAAACUUGACAUAAACUGUAAACUUAUCACUCAAAUAUGAUUGGUUGAAUGAAAUGCAGGAUUAACAAUGUAAGCAGGCAGUGUCAUUUUAUAAACUGCUUUAAGUGACCCUGAUAUUGUAAUAAGUAUAUAAAUGAAUGAAUAAACUAAUAAAUAAAUAAAACAUUACAAAACAAACAUUAAUAAAAAUAUUUAAUUUGUCUUACAUUUUGGCUGAAUAUUGACAUUUACAUUUAUAAAUGACUUUUUUUAUGAAUAAAAAUAGCCUAUCAUAAUAUUAAUUGAUGAAUUAAAUUAUGAGUGGGUAAAUCAGCACAAACUGCAAUGAGAACAUUGUAUGUUAUUUUGAUAUUAUUAACUUUUCAAACCAUUUUUUUAAUCAUGUUAUAGGCUUCAGCUAACUUUGUUAGAGAUAAGAUAUUUUUUUAAUCAAAGUUCAAACUGGUUCGAAUUUUCCUACUUCCGGCCCUUUAAAUUUAAAAGUAGGCGCGCGGAAAAGGCGCCCAAAAGACGGAACAGCAGAGGAUCGGCUGGAGAAUUGACGGUGGAAAACUCCACAAAGUAAAGUCAAGGUAAAAUUUCAUAAAAAAUAAUGAAUUUAAACAAUGUCUUUUUGUUGGCGAUUGCUUCGUUAUAUUUGAUUGGAGUAUUUAUGUGAUAUUAAAGUGAUAACAAAUUGUUAGCAAGCAAACACAUAGACUAUUUGAAGAUAAGUUAUUUAGUCAUUUCAACUUUUGCUAUCUCUGGAUUUUCAGGAUUUUUUUUUAAAUAUGAAUGUUUGUGUGGAGAAAUAGGCUGAAUGAUGAUUGUAAGUGACCGUGACAUAGUAAUUUGCUAUGUUCGCGCUGUUUACAUUUUUCUUAUGAUACUUUGCUACGGCCAGUAGAUCAAGAGUGAUUAGUUAAUUGUUUUUAUUUUAUUUUAUUCAAUAUCUCGUGAAUAACGUUGAUUAGUUCGCCACCGAGUCUCUUUCGUUCGUUUGUCACGUGACGUGACAGCAUACGUUAAGAUAACGUUAGUUUGGUUUUACUCCUUGUAUUCUUAAAGUGAGUGCAUGACGCGUUCCUGAUCUCAUUUCUUGCACUUUGAAUUUGUGAAUAUGUGAUACAGUUUUUUUUUUGUGAUAAUUAAAUGAUAAUUCCUAAAUAAAUGCUGAUGAAAUAGUCGUAUCUGUCUGUUUCCUGCACUAGCCUAUGCUGCUAUCACGUGACAAAAGAAUGAACGAGGCCUAACUGAAGACCCUGAAUUAAUAAUUUAUCUUUGUUAUAAUUUGUUAUUGUGGCUGCAAUAGCUUUUAUCUAUUAGUUGUUGUUUAUCAUUACUUUGUUAUUUAUUUUAAAUAUGAUCAAAGGUUGUGCAAGUAGAUGUUUUAGGGGAAUCUGGGUAUUGAAAAUGUAACAUUUAAUGUAAUUCAGCUCAAAUGGAUAAAAUGACUUGAAUAAAUAGUCAGUAACAUGAUCUGAACUACAAUUAAGUCCCAUGAAGGCAGCAUGUAGCCCAGUUAAACUGUAAAGUGGUCAGUAACACUGAACCAGUGGUCAAUAACACUGAAGUGAUACAUUGUCUGUCUCCUCAAUGUAGAUCCUCCUGCUGUAAAAAAAACAGCAUUGACCAGCAUGAAUUCCCCUUCACUCACUGUCUACCAACCUGCAGUCGGUUCGGCACGAAACAUGAGGCUCACAGCAACAGAUUAAGAAGAAGAAUCCUGCAUCAAAAGAUGGCUUCAACUUGCAUGUGAGACAGAGCGAGAAGAGAAAAAGAGGAAUGAAGAUGGACUGUCUAAGAAACCUGUUACCAUAGUCAGCUGGAUCCCUUCCAAAUCCAGAUCAGAUGGUGGACCUGCAUCUUGGCAUGACCACAACACAAGCCUAAAUGUCAGCGAAGACCAUGUCAACUAGACAAGCCGUAGAGACAGAUCCCCUGUGAGGACUUCGUUGACAGCCAUCGGCACAGAUCCUCAGCAAAGUCCACAAGAACCAGACAAGUCCUCUGCACAGACCCCUACGGCCAGCUUCAACUCUAUGCCGGCGUGUUGUAUCUUGAUCUUCAAACUGAUGGAACCAGAUCAAAAUAUUCUAAAUUAUACCAAUCCACAAUCUGACUUGUGAUGGAGCCUGAAUCAUAUCACACCAUGUUCGUUCACUGGCCAGAGGAGAAUUGGUCCCUGACUGAGAUUGGUUUCUCCCAUGGGUUUUUUUCUUCUCCAUUUCUGUAACCUGAUGGAUUUUGGGUUCCUUACCACUGUUGCCUUUGGCUUGCUAAGUUUGGGACACUUAAUAUUCAGCAAUAAUAUUGAUUUGAUUGCAUUGACACUAUCAUAUGAGAACUGAACUGAGCUGGACGAUGACAUCACUGUUUUCUGCAGAGCUGCUUUAUAACGAAUUGAACUGAUUUCAUAAUUGAUUAACUCUACACAGCUAUUGAACAGAACUGAAACUAAACUGACUUCAGCUGAACAAUGACACUAUUUUCUUUUUAGAGCUGCUUUACAGCAGAAUUGAACUCUGUUGGAAUAACUGAAUCAUUCUCCUGUUUAUACCUGUAAAGCUGCUUUGAAACAGUCUAUAAAGUGUUAAAUUAAAGGUGACUUGACUUUUGAAAUAGCCUGCUUGUGGACCAGAUCUGGUAAACAGUAAUGCGUUGCCAAAAUGUCACCAUUCUAGGCAGCAUGUGGGCCACAUGAGGAACGUGGGAAAGACCAGGGUUAAAAUAAAAAUCAACUGUGGCCCACAUUAGGGUCAGUUCUGGUUUAUUAUUUGGUUUGUUAGUGGCUUACGUGUGGCAUUUCCAAGGCUUGCUUGUGGCCCAGAUCUUGCAAACAGGAGUGGACCGCUCAAGUGCCAUCAUUCAACGCGGUAUGUGGGCCAGAGCAAGGUGUUGGAUCUGGGCCAGAAUUAAAACGAACUGUUGCCCAGAUUAGGGCCAGUUCUGCUUUAUUCAUAUUGUUUAUGGCUCACAUGCGGCAUUGGUAUGGCUUGCUUGUGGCCCAAAUCUGAAAAACAGGAGCGAACCGCCCAAGUGCCAUCAUUCCAUGCAAUUGGUGGGCCAGAGCAAGGUAUUGGAUCUGGGCCAGAAUUAAAAUAAACUGUUGCCCAGAUGUGGGCCAGUUCUGCUUUUUUCGUUUUGUUAAUGGCUGACAUGUGGCACUGGUAUAGCUUGCUUGUGGCUCAAAUCUGGCCAACAGGAGUGGACCGCCUAAAUGCCAUCAUUCUAUGCGGUAUGUGGGCCAGAGCAAAGGGGUUGGAUCUGGCGCACACUUGGCACUUUCAUGUGGCCCACAUUUGGCAGGAAUGAUGGCACUUGGGUGGUCCGCUCCUGUUUGCCAGACUUGGGCCACA